This 513-nucleotide ribosomal RNA is filed under the name uncultured bacterium. Its description in RNAcentral is "partial 16S ribosomal RNA". It matches the Rfam family "Bacterial small subunit ribosomal RNA", at positions 28 to 507 of the family's 1533-position model. The record is from RNAcentral.
GACGAACGCUGGCGGCGUGCUUAACACAUGCAAGUCGAACGAGAGCGUAGAGAAAGCUUGCUUUUUCUACAAUCUAGUGGCAAACGGGUGAGUAACGCGUAAACAACCUGCCCUACGGAUGGGGACAACAGCAGGCAACGGCUGCUAAUACCGAAUACGUUACGAACAUCGCAUGACUAUCGGAAGAAGGGAUGGCCUCUAUUUAUAAGCUAUCGCCGGAGGAGGGGUUUGCGGCUGAUUUGCUAGUUGGGGGGGUAAAGGACCUCCAAGGCGACGAUCAGUAGCCCGUCUGGGGAGGUGGACGGCCACAUUGGAACCGGGACACGGGCCCGACUCCUACGGGAGGCAGCAGUGGGGAAUCCUCCGCAAUGGGCCGAAGCCUGACGGAGCAACGCCGCGUGAGUGGAGACGGCCUUCGGGUUGUAAAGCUCCUUUAUUCGGGACGAAUAAUCUUGUUGUUAAUACCCAUGAGAAGUGACGGUACCGAAAGAGAAAGCCACGGCUAACUACGUG